Molecule: ribosomal RNA, 458 nt
Filed under: uncultured bacterium
Lineage: Bacteria
Description: partial 16S ribosomal RNA
Rfam family: Bacterial small subunit ribosomal RNA
Source: RNAcentral
CCUACGGGUGUCAGCAGUGAGGAAUAUUGGUCAAUGGGCGAGAGCCUGAACCAGCCAAGUCGCGUGAGGGAGUACUGCCCUAUGGGUUGUAAACCUCUUUUGUCGGGGAGCAAAAGCCGGACGUGUCCGGCUGUGAGAGUACCCGAAGAAAAAGCGUCGGCUAACUCCGUGCAAUCAGCCGCGGUAAUACGGAGGAUGCGAGCGUUCGCAGGAUUGAUUGGUUUUAAGGGGUGCGCAGGCGGAUUUUUAAGUCAGCGGUCAAAUCGUGGGGCUCAACCCCAUCCAGCCGUUGAAACUGGGGAUCUAGAGUGUGCGAGAGGUAGGCGGAAUGCGUGGUGUAGCGGUGAAAUGCAUAGAUAUCACGCAGAACCCCGAUUGCGAAGGCAGCAUACCGGUGCACAACUGACGCUCAGGCACGAAAGCGUGGGUAUCGAACAGGAUUAGAUACACGGGUAGUC